RNAcentral lists this ribosomal RNA (435 nucleotides) under uncultured bacterium. RNAcentral describes it as "bacterial SSU rRNA". It matches the Rfam family "Bacterial small subunit ribosomal RNA", at positions 958 to 1392 of the family's 1533-position model. The record is from RNAcentral.
AACGCGAAGAACCUUACCUAAGCUUGACAUCCUUUUGACCGAUGCCUAAUCGCAUCUUUCCCUUCGGGGACAGAAGUGACAGGUGGUGCAUGGUUGUCGUCAGCUCGUGUCGUGAGAUGUUGGGUUAAGUCCCGCAACGAGCGCAACCCUUGCCUUUAGUUGCCAGCAUUAAGUUGGGCACUCUAGAGGGACUGCCAGGGAUAACCUGGAGGAAGGUGGGGAUGACGUCAAAUCAUCAUGCCCCUUAUGCUUAGGGCUACACACGUGCUACAAUGGGUGGUACAGAGGGCAGCCAAGUCGUGAGGCGGAGCUAAUCCCUUAAAGCCAUUCUCAGUUCGGAUUGUAGGCUGAAACUCGCCUACAUGAAGCUGGAGUUACUAGUAAUCGCAGAUCAGAAUGCUGCGGUGAAUGCGUUCCCGGGUCUUGUACACACCG